UGGGGAGAACAGUAAAUCGUGUCUUCCUUGGAGGGGUUAAGCGUAAACGCUUUUCGGUGUAAUAAUUCUCAUCAUAAUAACUUAAUUCGCGAUCGCGUCUCAAUUCACUUUCUUCUGCUGAAGCCGAAACAUCAGUUGUUUUCUUUGAAAUUUUUCGAUAAAUGGCGAACAGAGUUCCGAUCCGCACAACCAGCUCAGCACUCAUCGCCAUGAUCGCUGAUGAGGAUACAAUUACUGGAUUUUUGCUGGCUGGAGUUGGCAAUGUUGAUUUGAGGAGGACAACAAAUUAUCUCAUUGUGGACU
Long non-coding RNA from Olea europaea var. sylvestris, 303 nucleotides. RefSeq lists it as uncharacterized. The record is from RefSeq and is a predicted model, not a curated record. The transcript has 3 exons. NCBI's taxonomy places the organism in Eukaryota, Viridiplantae, Streptophyta, Magnoliopsida, Lamiales, Oleaceae.